UCGCCAUCACCACUAAAACAUGGAGCCUUCCAGUGCACUCUGGUGACAGAAUCCUGAAACUCCCGAAAUAGCGCUAAACAUUGCGCUCCUACAGCUUUCAGCUUCUCUACCCCUUCAAGCUCAUUCAGGUCACAGCGCUAAACAUUGCGCUCCAACAGCUUUCAGCUUCUCUACCCCUUCAAGCUCAUUCAGGUCAUUGGUUGCUUCAUCUAGACCCGUAAGUGCAUUUUUUAUGGGAAGAAGGUUCUCGUAUAUCCUUAUUGUGCGAUCAUUGGAAUUUGUUAAGAGAUACUGUCCAUUUCUGCUAAACACAAUGUUCUUUAUAACAGCGCUGCCUGGAACAAGAACUAUACCACGCACUUGAACAUUUUUAUGGUCAAUUAUUAGUAUUUCCCCUUUGGAGUUCCCCACAUAAACCAG
Molecule: long non-coding RNA, 420 nt
Filed under: Nicotiana benthamiana
Lineage: Eukaryota; Viridiplantae; Streptophyta; Magnoliopsida; Solanales; Solanaceae
Description: long non-coding RNA (NBEN_LNC010714)
Source: RNAcentral